RNAcentral lists this non-coding RNA (24 nucleotides) under Arabidopsis thaliana (thale cress). Lineage: Eukaryota; Viridiplantae; Streptophyta; Magnoliopsida; Brassicales; Brassicaceae. The record is from RNAcentral.
ACAAAGAUGUUGAUGGAUCAAUGA